AGAAUCAACGCUGGCGGCGUGCCUAACACAUGCAAGUCGAACGAGAAAGUGGAGCAAUCCAUGAGUAAAGUGGCGCACGGGUGAGUAACACGUGACUAACCUACCCUUGAGUGGGGGAUAACCUAGGGAACCUGGGCUAAUACCGCAUAAUACCUUCGGGUCAAAGGAGCAAUUCGCUUUAGGAGGGGGUCGCGGCCGAUUAGUUAGUUGGCGGGGUAAUGGCCCACCAAGACUGUGAUCGGUA
RNAcentral lists this ribosomal RNA (244 nucleotides) under uncultured bacterium. RNAcentral's name for it is "partial small subunit ribosomal RNA". It matches the Rfam family "Bacterial small subunit ribosomal RNA", at positions 26 to 285 of the family's 1533-position model. The record is from RNAcentral.